GUGCCAGCCGCCGCGGUAAUACGAAGGGGGCUAGCGUUGCUCGGAAUUACUGGGCGUAAAGGGCGCGUAGGCGGCUCUGGUAGUCAGGCGUGAAAUUCCUGGGCUUAACCUGGGGACUGCGCUUGAUACUGCGGAGCUUGAGGCCGAGAGAGGGUGGUGGAAUACCCAGUGUAGAGGUGAAAUUCGUAGUUAUUGGGAAAAACACCGGGGGCGAAGGCGACCACCUGGCUCG
RNAcentral lists this ribosomal RNA (232 nucleotides) under uncultured bacterium. RNAcentral's name for it is "partial 16S rRNA". It matches the Rfam family "Bacterial small subunit ribosomal RNA", at positions 505 to 736 of the family's 1533-position model. The record is from RNAcentral.